GAUAACAUGCUUAUCUUACCCAAGAGCUCACAUCAACAGGAAGGUUUUGCACCUUGAUGUUGACUCUUCGCCACCUGGGGUUGUAGUAUGUUUCAAGGGUUGGGUUGUUCGCCCAUUAAAACGGUACGUGAGCUGGGCUUGGAAUGUCAUGAAACAGUUU
Molecule: non-coding RNA, 160 nt
Filed under: Gossypium barbadense (sea-island cotton)
Lineage: Eukaryota; Viridiplantae; Streptophyta; Magnoliopsida; Malvales; Malvaceae
Also listed under: 2 other names
Description: Bacterial large subunit ribosomal RNA
Rfam family: Bacterial large subunit ribosomal RNA
Source: Rfam by way of RNAcentral